Podarcis lilfordi (Lilford's wall lizard) is the source of this 641-nucleotide non-coding RNA. Lineage: Eukaryota; Metazoa; Chordata; Lepidosauria; Squamata; Lacertidae. The record is from the annotation of a GenBank genome assembly.
GUUGUCAGGGGUUCAGAGAGAGAGGCACAGGGUAGGCAGGAGAUGGAGAGCGAGGGGGAGGAAUUCCAAGCCAGCGAGGAAGAGGAUGACAAUGACUCAAGGGAUUCCAUGAGUCUUUCCAGCGAAUCAGAGGAUUCCCAGAAGGGGGCGCCGGUGGUCAGGGCCAGGGGAGCCCCAGGGGAAGUGUCAGGAGCAGGGUGCCAGCGGAGGAUCCCAAAGUGGCAGCUGGGCGUCAGGACCAGCCUCCCCACCAAAGUGCAGUGAAGGGGGUGGAGUUUCCAGUGUGUCAGAGGAAGCAGCUCCAGCAGCAGAGAAAGGAGGGGGGUCAGAGCAAGCCGCCCUCCCGGAAGGGGAGGGGAGCAGUGAAGGGAGUAGUGUAACUGUCAAAAGGAAAGUUAGAGGUUUGGCGCGCGCGCCUAGUUCAAAUGUAGAGGCGCGCGGAAGUGCAGGGAGUCCGGAGGAGGGGCCAGGUCCCAAAGCCCGCAGGAGGGGGGAAGAGCAGUCUGGGGAUUCAGCGUCAGAGGAAUCCAGAAGGGGCGCAACCCCAGGGGGCAGAAGGACCCUGCGGAAAAGGAAGGAGAGAAAGAGGUGGAGCAGCGCAAGUCUCUUAAAUUGGUGCAGAGGAGGGACUGACUCAGAGG